This 68-nucleotide transfer RNA is filed under the name Placopecten magellanicus (sea scallop). Its description in RNAcentral is "tRNA-Lys". It matches the Rfam family "tRNA". From Rfam's summary of the family: Transfer RNA (tRNA) molecules are approximately 80 nucleotides in length. Their secondary structure includes four short double-helical elements and three loops (D, anti-codon, and T loops). Lineage: Eukaryota; Metazoa; Mollusca; Bivalvia; Pectinida; Pectinidae. The record is from RNAcentral.
GGACUGGUAGCCUAAGAAGGGCAUUGGACUUUUAAUCCAGGGGUGGAGUAGAAAGGCUCCUCGGUCUU